AUUGAACGCUGGCGGCAGGCCUAACACAUGCAAGUCGAACGGUAACAGGAAGAAGCUUGCUUCUUUGCUGACGAGUGGCGGACGGGUGAGUAAUGUCUGGGAAACUGCCUGAUGGAGGGGGAUAACUACUGGAAACGGUAGCUAAUACCGCAUAACGUCGCAAGACCAAAGAGGGGGACCUUCGGGCCUCUUGCCAUCGGAUGUGCCCAGAUGGGAUUAGCUAGUAGGGGGGGUAACGGCUCACCUAGGCGACGAUCCCUAGCUGGUCUGAGAGGAUGACCAGCCACACUGGAACUGGGACACGGUCCAGACUCCUACGGGAGGCAGCAGUGGGGAAUAUUGCACAGUGGGCGCAAGCCUGAUGCAGCCAUGCCGCGUGUAUGAAGAAGGCCUUCGGGUUGUAAAGUACUUUCAGCGGGGAGGAAGGGAGUAAAGUUAAUACCUUGGCUCAUUGACGUUACCCGCAGAAGAAGCACCGGCUAACUCCGUG
This 490-nucleotide ribosomal RNA is filed under the name uncultured bacterium. Its description in RNAcentral is "partial 16S ribosomal RNA". It matches the Rfam family "Bacterial small subunit ribosomal RNA", at positions 30 to 507 of the family's 1533-position model. The record is from RNAcentral.